UGAGCCUUGAUGUGUAGGAUAGGUGGGAGGCUUUGAAGUGUGGACGCCAGUCUGCAUGGAGCCGACCUUGAAAUACCACCCUUUAAUGUUUGAUGUUCUAACGUUGACCCGUGAUCCGGGUUGCGGACAGUGUCUGGUGGGUAGUUUGACUGGGGCGGUCUCCUCCUAAAGAGUAACGGAGGAGCACGAAGGUUGGCUAAUCCUGGUCGGACAUCAGGAGGUUAGUGCAAUGGCAUAAGCCAGCUUGACUGCGAGCGUGACGGCGCGAGCAGGUGCGAAAGCAGGUCAUAGUGAUCCGGUGGUUCUGAAUGGAAGGGCCAUCGCUCAACGGAUAAAAGGUACUCCGGGGAUAACAGGCUGAUACCGCCCAAGAGUUCAUAUCGACGGCGGUGUUUGGCACCUCGAUGUCGGCUCAUCACAUCCUGGGGCUGAAGUAGGUCCCAAGGGUAUGGCUGUUCGCCAUUUAAAGUGGUACGCGAGCUGGGUUUAGAACGUCGUGAGACAGUUCGGUCCCUA
RNAcentral lists this ribosomal RNA (516 nucleotides) under Escherichia coli. Its description in RNAcentral is "partial 23S ribosomal RNA". It matches the Rfam family "Bacterial large subunit ribosomal RNA", at positions 2125 to 2640 of the family's 2925-position model. Lineage: Bacteria; Pseudomonadati; Pseudomonadota; Gammaproteobacteria; Enterobacterales; Enterobacteriaceae. The record is from RNAcentral.